CCCGCGCCCGCCCGCCGGCCCGCGUGCUGCAGCCGCCGCGGCCCGGGCGGGGCCGGGGGUGGGGGUGGGUUCGCUGGUUUGGAGGGUGGGUGGGGUUGGCUGUUUCUGGAAAGCUCAGCGGAGCUAAUCUAAUCUUCCAAGGCGCGUCCGCUGCCCGAGAGCAGCGCUCACAGUCCGCAGCGCCGGGAGGGCUCCGCGGCCUCCCCCUCCCGGCUCAGUAGAUCCAGAUCGUGUGAGUCUCUUUUAUUCCCGUUUUGCACGUGAGGCCACGGAGGCCGGGAUAGACCAGGAUCGCACACGUCUUGGGGGCCUACUCCGGACUCAAACCUACGUCUCUGUGACUCCAAAACUCAUAUUAUACUAUGACCUAGUAUUUGCUGGUGUAAGACGAAUGGUUCCGUUUUAGCGCAGAUGCAAGCGCCACCUUAUUUGGAGGACAGGCAGGUAGAUCUGCAGCUGUAAAACCCGAGGCCCCGAGGCGGGCUUGCACAGCUCCCCUGGCUCUCCGUCCACGUCCACGUCUCUGCUGUCCACUGCUCCUAGAGCACCUUUCGACUCUUGGAAACAGGAACUGCCAGUUAAAAAGAAUACUACCUAUUUUAUUGAGCCUGAAGGGUUGAGGACAUCACAGACCAGAGGACGAGGCCCGGAGGGAUGGGACUUUGUCUGCUGCCCUCUCGCAUCCCGACUGGUACACCUCAGUGAACAAUCUGUAAUGGACACAGUGCAUACAGCAAGGCCCUACUGCAAACCUGUGGACGCAAAGCCUCUGAGAACCUCUCAGACACGGAAGGGGCCACAAGGCUU
Molecule: long non-coding RNA, 807 nt
Filed under: Sus scrofa (pig)
Lineage: Eukaryota; Metazoa; Chordata; Mammalia; Artiodactyla; Suidae
Description: lncRNA (ENSSSCG00025037428.1)
Source: RNAcentral